Molecule: unclassified non-coding RNA, 250 nt
Filed under: plant metagenome
Description: partial contains small subunit ribosomal RNA, internal transcribed spacer 1, and 5.8S ribosomal RNA
Source: RNAcentral
GUAGGUGAACCUGCGGAAGGAUCAUUAACAAAUCAUCGUGGGGCGCUCGCGCCCCAUAUACACCCGUUGCUGGGAAGGGUUCUGCCCGGACCGGCUCUGGUUGCAGCCCCUUUGCGGGGGCUGUAGGCUGUGCGUCUGCUGCUAGUCAGCGGGGGCCGGCCACAUAGACGCUUGCAUGUUUGACAGAGUUUAGUUGCUUCGUAAAGAAUACAACUUUUAACAAUGGAUCUCUUGGCUCUUGCAUCGAUGA